GCGCUCGUGGUUUAACGGCAGAAUGAGGCCUUGCCAAGGCUUAGACCCGGGUUCAAUUCCCGGCGAGCGCA
This 71-nucleotide transfer RNA is filed under the name Candidatus Woesearchaeota archaeon. RNAcentral's name for it is "tRNA-Gly". It matches the Rfam family "tRNA". From Rfam's summary of the family: Transfer RNA (tRNA) molecules are approximately 80 nucleotides in length. Their secondary structure includes four short double-helical elements and three loops (D, anti-codon, and T loops). Lineage: Archaea; Nanobdellati; Candidatus Woesearchaeota. The record is from RNAcentral.